This 206-nucleotide ribosomal RNA is filed under the name Lophium arboricola. Its description in RNAcentral is "5.8S ribosomal RNA". The stretch from base 1 to 154 matches the Rfam family "5.8S ribosomal RNA". Rfam says of the family: 5.8S ribosomal RNA (5.8S rRNA) is a component of the large subunit of the eukaryotic ribosome. It is transcribed by RNA polymerase I as part of the 45S precursor that also contains 18S and 28S rRNA. Lineage: Eukaryota; Fungi; Ascomycota; Dothideomycetes; Mytilinidiales; Mytilinidiaceae. The record is from RNAcentral.
AACUUUCAACAACGGAUCUCUUGGUUCUGGCAUCGAUGAAGAACGCAGCGAAAUGCGAUAAGUAGUGUGAAUUGCAGAAUUCAGUGAAUCAUCGAAUCUUUGAACGCACAUUGCGCCCCUCGGUAUCCCGGGGGGCAUGCCUGUUCGAGCGUCAUUUCUACCACUCAAGUUUAACUUGGUAUUGGGCAUCGUUGUGAAAAAUUUAA